This 311-nucleotide ribosomal RNA is filed under the name uncultured Glomus. RNAcentral's name for it is "bacterial SSU rRNA". It matches the Rfam family "Eukaryotic small subunit ribosomal RNA", at positions 569 to 883 of the family's 1831-position model. Lineage: Eukaryota; Fungi; Glomeromycota; Glomeromycetes; Glomerales; Glomeraceae. The record is from RNAcentral.
AGCAGCCGCGGUAAUUCCAGCUCCAAUAGCGUAUAUUAAAGUUGUUGCAGUUAAAAAGCUCGUAGUUGAACUUCAGGCCUGUCCAGAUGGUCCGCCUUAAUUGGUGUGUACUGUCCUUGGGUGGGUCCUACCUUCUGGCGAAGCGGCAUGGCCUUAGUUGGUUGUGUCGGGGAACCAGGACUUUUACUGUGAAAAAUUGAGUGUUCAAAGCAGGCAUAUAUGCUCGAAUACAUUAGCAUGGAAUAAUGGAAUAGGACGAUGGUUCUAUUUUGUUGGUUCUAGGACCGUUGUAAUGAUUAAUAGGGAUAGUU